UCUGGCUGCAGCCGGCGCUUCAGGUCUCGUCUUCACUGGUGUGUGUCCUAUUCUCCUGGAGGCCCAGACUCUGUGGCCCUGUGACCUGCAGGUAUUGGGAGAUCCACAGCUAAAACCCCAGGACCCCCUGGAAGCAUGGAAAUGUUCUUCAGACAAUCAGUAAAAACAAACUUCUCCGAGCUAAAGGAGGAUGUUCGAAUCCAUCAUAAAGAAGCUGGAAACCUUGAAAAAAGAUUAGAUGAAUGGCUAACUAUAAUAGACAGUGUAGAGAAGACCUUAAAUGACCUCAUAGAGCUGAAAACCAUGGCCCAAAAACUACGUGAUGAAUGCAGAAGCUUGAGUAGCCAAUGUGAUCAACAGGAAGAAAAAGUAUCAGUGAUUGUUAAAAUGAAUGAAAUGAAGCGAGAAGAGAAGUUUAGAGAUAAAAGAAUAAAAAGAAAUGAACAAAGCCUCCAAGAAAUAUGGGACUAUGUGAAAAGACCAAAUCUACGUCUGAUUGGUGUACCUGAAAGUGAUGGGGAGAAUAGAACCAAGUUGGAAAACACUCUGCAGGAUAUUAUCCAGGAGAACUUCCCCAACCUAGCAAGGCAGGCCAACAUUCAAAUUCAGGAAAUACAG
RNAcentral lists this non-coding RNA (618 nucleotides) under Pan troglodytes (chimpanzee). Lineage: Eukaryota; Metazoa; Chordata; Mammalia; Primates; Hominidae. The record is from RNAcentral.